Molecule: ribosomal RNA, 253 nt
Filed under: uncultured bacterium
Lineage: Bacteria
Description: partial 16S ribosomal RNA
Rfam family: Bacterial small subunit ribosomal RNA
Source: RNAcentral
UACGGAGGGUGCUAGCGUUGUUCGGAAUCACUGGGCGUAAAGCGCGUGUAGGCGGUCUGCUAAGUCUGAUGUGAAAGCCCGGGGCUCACCCCCGGAAGUGCAUUGGAAACUGGCAGACUGGAGUCCCGGAGAGGAGGGUGGAAUUCCUGGUGUAGCGGUGAAAUGCGUAGAUAUCAGGAGGAACACCGGUGGCGAAGGCGGCCCUCUGGACGGUGACUGACGCUGAGACGCGAAAGCGUGGGGAGCAAACAGG